GAGUUUGAUCCUGGCUCAGGAUGAACGCUGGCGGCGUGCCUAACACAUGCAAGUCGAGCGGAGCAAUCUUGAUGAAGUUUUCGGAUGGAAUCAGGAUUGACUUAGCGGCGGACGGGUGAGUAACACGUGGAUAACCUGCCUUAUACUGGGGGAUAACAGCCAGAAAUGGCUGCUAAUACCGCAUAAGCGCACGGCGCCGCAUGGCGCAGUGUGAAAAACUCCGGUGGUAUAAGAUGGAUCCGCGCCUGAUUAGCUAGUUGGCGGGGCAGCGGCCCACCAAGGCGACGAUCAGUAGCCGGCCUGAGAGGGCGACCGGCCACAUUGGGACUGAGACACGGCCCAAACUCCUAUGGGAGGCAGCAGUGGGGAAUAUUGCACAAUGGGGGGAACCCUGAUGCAGCGACGCCGCGUGAGUGAAGAAGUAUUUCGGUAUGUAAAGCUCUAUCAGCAGGGAAGAAGAUGACGGUACCUGACUAAGAAGCCCCGGCUAACUACGUGCCAGCAGCCGCGGUAAUACGUAGGGGGCAAGCGUUAUCCGGAUUUACUGGGUGUAAAGGGAGCGUAGACGGCAGGGCAAGUCUGGAGUGAAAGCCCGGGGCCCAACCCCGGGACUGCUUUGGAAACUGCCAUGCUAGAGUGCUGGAGAGGUAAGCGGAAUUCCUAGUGUAGCGGUGAAAUGCGUAG
This 684-nucleotide ribosomal RNA is filed under the name uncultured bacterium. RNAcentral describes it as "bacterial SSU rRNA". It matches the Rfam family "Bacterial small subunit ribosomal RNA", at positions 9 to 693 of the family's 1533-position model. The record is from RNAcentral.